UGCAGAGAUAGCAGCAAGAAUAGUGAGAGCAAAUGAGAGGGUGACAACGAAGGCCAAUAGAAGGGAAAACAAACUCUCUGGAGCCGGGAUGUUUUGGGAAACCGAGGAGGCCACAGCAAGCCGGUUUGAACUGGCACAAAAGGCACCAGAAGCAAAGUGGAAUUACCAUCCCCCCGCCCUCCCAGGAGCCCAGGACUUAAAACCCUCGUGAGAGCUGGAGCAACUCGGAGAUCAACAGCGGAUCCUCGGACGACCUGGGCCCAGGACACCACUCCCAUCCACCCUUCCCCUCCUCUCUUCUAACGUUACACCCAGGCCUGGCCAGAUAAGAGGAUGGAAUGGCUCCAUGCUACAAGGUGCUGAGCACUCUGACCCCAAUUCAGGAAAGCACUUAAGUAUAGGUUUAAUUUUGAGCAGUAUGUCUGCAAGGACUAUGCGCAAGCUGAGAGACUGGGCAUCCUUUGAGGGUAGGAGACAAUACACCAGAAUUUGAGAACAUGAUUGCAGGAAUCUUACUUCUUCGUCAGAGUUCCUCAAGCAUGGAUGGAGCAAAAAUGGCCUUGGCUGCUCUUCCUGCCUAG
Long non-coding RNA from Chelonia mydas (Green sea turtle), 581 nucleotides. RefSeq lists it as uncharacterized. The record is from RefSeq and is a predicted model, not a curated record. The transcript is spliced from 3 exons. NCBI's taxonomy places the organism in Eukaryota, Metazoa, Chordata, Testudines, Cheloniidae.